AGUGAACGCUGGCGGUAGGCCUAACACAUGCAAGUCGAACGGCAGCACAGUAAGAGCUUGCUCUUACGGGUGGCGAGUGGCGGACGGGUGAGGAAUACAUCGGAAUCUACUUUUUCGUGGGGGAUAACGUAGGGAAGCUUACGCUAAUACCGCAUACGACCUACGGGUGAAAGCAGGGGAUCUUCGGACCUUGCGCGAUUGAAUGAGCCGAUGUCGGAUUAGCUAGUUGGCGGGGUAAAGACCCACCAAGGCGACGAUCCGUAGCUGGUCUGAGAGGAUGAUCAGCCACACUGGAACUGAGACACGGUCCAGACUCCUACGGGAGGCAGCAGUGGGGAAUAUUGGACAAUGGGCGCAAGCCUGAUCCAGCCAUACCGCGUGGGUGAAGAAGGCCUUCGGGUUGUAAAGCCCCUUUGUUGGGAAAGAAAAGCAGCAGGUUAAUACCCCGCUGUUCUGACGGUACCCAAAGAAUAAGCACCGGCUAACUUCGUG
Molecule: ribosomal RNA, 492 nt
Filed under: uncultured bacterium
Lineage: Bacteria
Description: partial 16S ribosomal RNA
Rfam family: Bacterial small subunit ribosomal RNA
Source: RNAcentral